RNAcentral lists this small RNA (125 nucleotides) under Marmota monax (woodchuck). The record is from RNAcentral. Lineage: Eukaryota; Metazoa; Chordata; Mammalia; Rodentia; Sciuridae.
GCCGGGCACAGUGGCGCACGCCUGUAAUCCCAGCAGCUUGGGAGGCUGAGGCAGGAGGAUUGAGGGUUUCAAGCCAGCCUCAGCAAAAGUGAGGUGCUAAGCAACUCAGUGAGACCCUGUCUCUA